RNAcentral lists this long non-coding RNA (544 nucleotides) under Homo sapiens (human). Its description in RNAcentral is "HSALNT0344125". Lineage: Eukaryota; Metazoa; Chordata; Mammalia; Primates; Hominidae. The record is from RNAcentral.
CACAACAUACAUAUACACCAUACACACAACUUACACAUAUACACGUGCAUACACAACAUACAUACACACUCAUACACAAACUUACACAUACACACGUGCGCACACAUACAUAUACACAUACACACCUUACACAUACACAUGUGCACACACAUACACUCAUACACAACUUACACAUGUGCACACACGCACAACAUACAUAUACACCCAUACACACAACUUACACAUACACAUGUGCACACAUACACAACAUACAUAUGCACUCAUACACAACUUACACAUGCACAUGCAACUUACACACAUACACACAACAUACAUAUGCACCCAUACACACAACUUACACACACAUAUGCACACACAACACACACAUGCACACACAUAGACACACAACUUACACAAGCAACAAAACAUACACAUAUACACACAAAGUACAUGCAGGCACACAUUGUGCACACAACACACAUGCACAUAUACACAUAUGCACACAUGUUCACAUGUGCUCACAACAUAUACAAACACACACACUAUUUUGGAUCGGUCACAGCUC